CUGAGCAAGAUGGAGAAGCAGGGCACGUGCAUUACUAGCUCAUCUCGUUUGCAUAUAGAUACACCCUCACCACAAAUGCGUGUAUAUGUGCAGAGAUAUAGAUAUAUAUAUAUGUGUGUGUGGAGUGUGAUGAUAUAAAUGAGUUAGUUCUUCAUGUGCCCAUCUUCACCAUCAUGACCAC
Molecule: microRNA precursor, 181 nt
Filed under: Arabidopsis suecica
Lineage: Eukaryota; Viridiplantae; Streptophyta; Magnoliopsida; Brassicales; Brassicaceae
Description: MIR164
Rfam family: MIR164 microRNA precursor family
Source: RNAcentral